This 224-nucleotide long non-coding RNA is filed under the name Phoenix dactylifera (date palm). Its description in RNAcentral is "long non-coding RNA (PDAC_LNC022756)". Lineage: Eukaryota; Viridiplantae; Streptophyta; Magnoliopsida; Arecales; Arecaceae. The record is from RNAcentral.
GAGCGUGACCAAGACAAGAAGUCACUUAGAUGUCUAUCCACUCGUCAGUGACUUGCUUGAUGUUGCAGUAGUGUGACUGGUCCUUUGACCUGCGGUGCUUCGGCUACUCACAGUAAGGUUAUUGUAGUUUGACUGCACACAUACAUGGUCUCUAGCCAUAUGGGUCCAUGCAGUAUAGAUUGGCUGCAGUAAGUUUACUGUAGGAGUAGGGUAUGCACCUAUAA